Molecule: non-coding RNA, 73 nt
Organism: Cercophora newfieldiana
Lineage: Eukaryota; Fungi; Ascomycota; Sordariomycetes; Sordariales; Lasiosphaeriaceae
Source: the annotation of a GenBank genome assembly
GCCCGGCUAGCUCAAUCGGUAGAGCGUGAGACGGUGUAUCUUAAGGUUGUGGGUUUGACCCCCACGUCGGGCU